This 346-nucleotide ribosomal RNA is filed under the name uncultured bacterium. RNAcentral describes it as "bacterial SSU rRNA". It matches the Rfam family "Bacterial small subunit ribosomal RNA", at positions 20 to 398 of the family's 1533-position model. The record is from RNAcentral.
UGGCUCAGAGUGAACGCUAGCGGUGCGCCUAACACAUGCAAGUCGAGUGGGUUUAGACCCACGGCAAACGGCUGCGUAACACGUUGGAAUCUGCCCCGAACUCAGGGAUAUCCCUCCGAAAGGAGGAGUAAUACCGGAUACCCUCGCAAGAGGAAAGAUUUUUCGGUUCGGGAGGAGCCUGCGGCCUAUCAGAUAGUUGGUGGGGUAACGGCCUACCAAGUCGAUGACGGGUAGCUGGAUUGAGAGAUCGACCAGCCAGAAUGGAACUGCGACACGGUCCAUACUCCUACGGGAGGCAGCAGUGAGGAAUCUUCCGCAAUGGGCGAAAGCCUGACGGAGCGACACC